RNAcentral lists this ribosomal RNA (484 nucleotides) under uncultured bacterium. RNAcentral describes it as "partial 16S ribosomal RNA". It matches the Rfam family "Bacterial small subunit ribosomal RNA", at positions 30 to 507 of the family's 1533-position model. The record is from RNAcentral.
AUUGAACGCUGGCGGCAGGCCUAACACAUGCAAGUCGAGCGGAUGCAGGGAGCUUGCUCCUGGUUUCAGCGGCGGACGGGUGAGUAAUGCCUAGGAAUAUGCCUGUUUGUGGGGUAUAAGGUGCUGACACGGGCGCUCAUACCGCAUACGUCCUGAGGGAGUAAGGGGGGGAUCUUCGGACCUCCCGCCAUCAGAUGAGCCUAGGUCGGAUUAGCUAGUUGGUGGGGUAAAGGCCUACCAAGGCGACGAUCCGUAGCUGGUCUGAGAGGAUGAUCAGUCACACUGGAACUGAGACACGGUCCAGACUCCUACGGGAGGCAGCAGUGGGGAAUAUUGGACAAUGGGCGCAAGCCUGAUCCAGCCAUGCCGCGUGUGUGAAGAAGGUCUUCGGAUUGUAAAGCACUUUUAGUUGGGAGGAAGGGCAGUAAGUUAAUACCUCGCUGUUUUGACGUUACCAACAGAAUAAGCACCGGCUAACUUCGUG